UCAGAUACACUGCUCCACAUGCACAGAAACAUCUUAUUUUUAAGAUAUUUAUUACAAACUGUGAUUUAUUUUUUUUUCUCCUGCUUCUUGUCUUAUUGAAUUAUUCUUUAGGAAUCUGAUCUCCCUGCACAGAAAUGUCUGAUGACUGAUCCUGUAUUGGGACACUUAAAUAGUUAUGGAGAUAUGAGGCUUGACAGAAAGAGGGACUGAACCAAUGAGGUCAGCUUCUCCCAUUGCAUCAUUUGGCACAAGGAUUCCUUUCUGUAACUCUUCCUAUCUUCUCUCCAAAUGAUACCAUCGUACUAUCUCUUGAUAGAAACUUUCACAGCACUGCCUGAGGAAAGGGAAAAUCCCAACACACAUGCACGCACGUUGCUGUUGCCAAGGAUUUUACAGCUGUACUCCGAGAAGAUAAUCUAUGGUCAGUCCAUCUCAUCUGUAUGAUCACAGGUAAGCUUGGUUUCUUCAAGAGCACUUCAUCCCCUUUCUUUGCUUCCCCCCUAUUCCUGACAUGUUGCCUUCCGUCAUUUGGUUGUUCUUCAAAGGAGGAAAUUACUGGAGUACCCAAGACAGUUUCUCAUA
This 582-nucleotide long non-coding RNA is filed under the name Anas platyrhynchos platyrhynchos (common mallard). Its description in RNAcentral is "lncRNA (ENSAPLG00000018672.1)". The record is from RNAcentral. Lineage: Eukaryota; Metazoa; Chordata; Aves; Anseriformes; Anatidae.